UCCGAAUUGGUGUAGUGGCUAACAUUUGACGCUCUCAAGACUUCCUAGUUGAAGGACCGUCAAGCCCGGGGUUCGAUUCCCCGAUUCGGAG
Non-coding RNA from Daldinia loculata, 91 nucleotides. Lineage: Eukaryota; Fungi; Ascomycota; Sordariomycetes; Xylariales; Hypoxylaceae. The record is from the annotation of a RefSeq genome assembly.